UGGGGAAUAUUGGACAAUGGGGGGAACCCUGAUCCAGCCAUGCCGCGUGUGUGAAGAAGGCCUUAUGGUUGUAAAGCACUUUAAGUGAGGAGGAGGGUACUGGUAUUAAUACUACCAGGUACUGGACGUUACUCGCAGAAUAAGCACCGGCUAACUCUGUGCCAGCAGCCGCGGUAAUACAGAGGGUGCGAGCGUUAAUCGGAUUUACUGGGCGUAAAGCGUGCGUAGGCGGCUAAUUGAGUCGGAUGUGAAAUCCCCGAGCUUAACUUGGGAAUUGCAUUCGAUACUGGUUAGCUAGAGUGUGGGGGAGGAUGGUAGAAUUCCAGGUGUAGCGGUGAAAUGCGUAGAGAUCUGGAGGAAUACCGAUGGCGAAGGCAGCCAUCUGGCCUAACACUGACGCUGAGGUACGAAAGCAUGGGGAGCAAACAGG
RNAcentral lists this ribosomal RNA (430 nucleotides) under Pseudomonadota bacterium. RNAcentral describes it as "Proteobacteria bacterium partial 16S ribosomal RNA". It matches the Rfam family "Bacterial small subunit ribosomal RNA", at positions 355 to 776 of the family's 1533-position model. Lineage: Bacteria; Pseudomonadati; Pseudomonadota. The record is from RNAcentral.